GGAUGCGAUAAUACUAGCACUAAAGCACCGGA
RNAcentral lists this ribosomal RNA (32 nucleotides) under Deschampsia antarctica (Antarctic hairgrass). The record is from RNAcentral. Lineage: Eukaryota; Viridiplantae; Streptophyta; Magnoliopsida; Poales; Poaceae.